RNAcentral lists this long non-coding RNA (515 nucleotides) under Phoenix dactylifera (date palm). RNAcentral's name for it is "long non-coding RNA (PDAC_LNC012615)". The record is from RNAcentral. Lineage: Eukaryota; Viridiplantae; Streptophyta; Magnoliopsida; Arecales; Arecaceae.
CCAUACUAGUAUGAGUUGAUUUUAUAUGCCAAAACUAGUCUCUUUAAUCUUGGUAUUCUUAAUGCAUAUAUUUUAAAAAUAUACCAAGUAGACAUUCUUAUGUUUAUGAUCAAUAGAAGAUAAUGCCAUGGAUAAGAACUCUCAAUCAAGCAUAUAGAGAAUUCAAAGAGUUAUUCUAAGAGUAUUGAUUGAGCAAAUUAUCUAUCAAUAACUAAAGCAUAAUAUAGGAAGAUGGAGUGACUUGGAUAUAUUUUCUUUUCAUACCAAAAGUAUCACUUAUAUCACAAAAAUGAUUAAUACUAGCUACAAUUUCAAUAUGAGAGGAUGCAAGGAUUACUAAUUUCAUUAUUUCUUCCAUUUUAGUCACUCUUCUUAAUUACAUUUUAAGUUCCAUUCUUUAACACGUGUCUAGAGAACCCGUUGUCCAGAUAUUGGAAUCUUGGGUAGCUAGACACAUUUGCUAAAAAUGAUCAGGUUUUCAACUUAGAAACCCAAGCUUUUUUGGGUCCUUGCAG